Molecule: ribosomal RNA, 58 nt
Filed under: Monomastix minuta
Lineage: Eukaryota; Viridiplantae; Chlorophyta; Mamiellophyceae; Monomastigales; Monomastigaceae
Also listed under: 1 other name
Description: partial 28S ribosomal RNA
Source: RNAcentral
AAUUGACCUCAGUUCAGGCAAGGCUACCCGCCGAAUUUAAGCAUAUUACUAAGCGGAG